GCGCCACAUAAGCCUUCUCCAUGCCCUCUCUCUUAUUCAACGCCAAUCUCCACUUAUUUUGUGUGAAAAAAAGCCCUCUCCCAGAUCUCUUCCACGUUCACAAAAGGUCUCCUCUCUUCUUUCUUACAUGGAAGGUGGUUUGGAUCAAAUCUAAAAGGAAUAAGUUUGGAUUUCGAAUUCUAUGAGAUAGAGUUUUAGAAAUCCAAAACUCUUUCAAUUUUGCACCGAAUUUAUCCAAAUUUUUUUUGAAAUUUUUGUGGCUUUUAGGAUAUAUAUUGUGCACCCUUUUCUAGUAAUCCAUGCA
This 304-nucleotide long non-coding RNA is filed under the name Elaeis guineensis (African oil palm). RNAcentral describes it as "long non-coding RNA (EGUI_LNC050897)". The record is from RNAcentral. Lineage: Eukaryota; Viridiplantae; Streptophyta; Magnoliopsida; Arecales; Arecaceae.